AUUUCCCUCUUUCUUCCGGCCUAACACAUGCAAGUCGAGCGGAUGAAGGGAGCUUGCUCCUGGAUUCAGCGGCGGACGGGUGAGUAAUGCCUAGGAAUCUGCCUGGUAGUGGGGGACAACGUCCGGAAACGGGCGCUAAUACCGCAUACGUCCUGAGGGAGAAAGUGGGGGAUCUUCGGACCUCACGCUAUCAGAUGAGCCUAGGUCGGAUUAGCUAGUUGGUGGGGUAAAGGCCUACCAAGGCGACGAUCCGUAACUGGUCUGAGAGGAUGAUCAGUCACACUGGAACUGAGACACGGUCCAGACUCCUACGGGAGGCAGCAGUAGGGAAUAUUGGACAAUGGGCGAAAGCCUGAUCCAGCCAUGCCGCGUGUGUGAAGAAGGUCUUCGGAUUGUAAAGCACUUUAAGUUGGGAGGAAGGGCAGUAAGUUAAUACCUUGCUGUUUUGACGUUACCAACAGAAUAAGCACCGGCUAACUUCGUG
This 484-nucleotide ribosomal RNA is filed under the name uncultured bacterium. Its description in RNAcentral is "partial 16S ribosomal RNA". It matches the Rfam family "Bacterial small subunit ribosomal RNA", at positions 36 to 507 of the family's 1533-position model. The record is from RNAcentral.